This 239-nucleotide long non-coding RNA is filed under the name Mytilus galloprovincialis (Mediterranean mussel). The record is from RNAcentral. Lineage: Eukaryota; Metazoa; Mollusca; Bivalvia; Mytilida; Mytilidae.
UACUUAUUAAUUUUAAAUGAGGAUGAAAGGCGACUGCUCACUAAGUUCAGAGUCAGUGCACAUAAAUUAGAAAUUGAAAGAGCAGAUAUGUGGGGCUUCGAGUGGAGGAUAGAAUAUGUAAAUUAUGUAACACUGAAGUUGAAGAUGAAAUUCAUUUUCUUCUUCGGUGUCCUGUUUUAGAAAAUAAAAGAUCUGAAUAUAUAGAUUACUUAAAUAAGGUUAACAAAAACUUUAAAAGC